AAUUUCGUAGUUUAUAAAAAACGCAAAAUUGCAAAUUUUGAAAAGAAAAAUCCGAAAUUU
Molecule: transfer RNA, 60 nt
Filed under: Frankliniella occidentalis (western flower thrips)
Lineage: Eukaryota; Metazoa; Arthropoda; Insecta; Thysanoptera; Thripidae
Description: tRNA-Cys
Source: RNAcentral